GACGAACGCUGGCGGCGUGCUUAACACAUGCAAGUCGAACGGAAAGGCCCUGCUGUUGUUGGGUGCGCGGGUGACGGACGGGUGAGUAACAAGUGAGUAGCCUGCCCUUGACUUUGGAAUAACUUCAGGAAACUGGGGCUAAUACCAGAUAGGAGCUCCUGCUGCAUGGUGGGGGUUGGAAAGUUUCGGCGGUUGGGGAUGGACUCGCGGCUUAUCAGCUUGUGGGUGGGGUAGUGGCUUACCAAGGCUUUGACGGGUAGCCGGCCUGAGAGGGUGACCGGCCACAUUGGGACUGAGAUACGGCCCAGACCCCUACGGGAGGAAGCAGUGGGGAAUAUUGCACAAUGGGCGGAAGCCUGAUGCAGCAACGCCGCGUGCGGGAUGACGGCCUUCGGGUUGUAAACCGCUUUCGCAGGUGACGAAGCGUGAGUGACGGUAAUGGGUAAAGAAGCACCGGCUAACUACGUG
Molecule: ribosomal RNA, 468 nt
Filed under: uncultured bacterium
Lineage: Bacteria
Description: partial 16S ribosomal RNA
Rfam family: Bacterial small subunit ribosomal RNA
Source: RNAcentral